UACUAACGCUGGCGGCGUGCUUAACACAUGCAAGUCGAACGGAAAGGCCCUGCUUUUGUGGGGUGCUCGAGUGGCGAACGCGUGAGUAACACGUGAGUAACCUGCCCUUGAUUUUGGGAUAACUUCAGGAAACUGGAGCUAAUACCGGAUAGGAGCUCCUGUUGCAUGGUGGGGGUUGGAAAGUUUCGGCGGUUGGGGUUGGACUCGCGGCUUAUCAGCUUGUUGGUGGGGUAGUGGCUUACCAAGGCUUUGACGGGUAGCCGGCCUGAGAGGGUGACCGGCGACAGUGGGACUGAGGUACGGCCCAGAGUCCUACGGGAGGCAGCAGUGGGGAAUAUUGCACAAUGGGCGGAAGCCUGAUGCAGCGACGCCGCGUGCGGGAUGACGGCCUUCGGGUUGUAAACCGCUUUCGCCUGUGACGCAGCGUGAGUGACGGUAAUGGGUGAAGAAGCACCGGCUAACUACGUG
RNAcentral lists this ribosomal RNA (468 nucleotides) under uncultured bacterium. Its description in RNAcentral is "partial 16S ribosomal RNA". It matches the Rfam family "Bacterial small subunit ribosomal RNA", at positions 29 to 507 of the family's 1533-position model. The record is from RNAcentral.